RNAcentral lists this ribosomal RNA (1685 nucleotides) under Oligolepis formosanus (Formosan arrowfin goby). Its description in RNAcentral is "16S ribosomal RNA". The stretch from base 96 to 1605 matches the Rfam family "Bacterial large subunit ribosomal RNA". The record is from RNAcentral. Lineage: Eukaryota; Metazoa; Chordata; Actinopteri; Gobiiformes; Gobiidae.
AAUACCCCAGCAGCUAGCCUACCUCAAAAAGCAACAACCAGUAUUAAUACCCCCAUAAGAAUAAAAAACCACUAAACAAACCAUUUUUCCCCCUAAGUAUGGGAGACAGAAAAGGACACCACAGCGCAAUAGAGAAAGUACCGCAAGGGAAAGCUGAAAGAGAAAUGAAACAACUUAGUUAAGGUAAAAAAAGCAGAGACUUACCCUCGUACCUUUUGCAUCAUGAUUUAGCAAGCACCUUCAAGCAAAGGGCCCUUUACGUUUGAAACCCCGAAACUAAGCGAGCUACUCCAAGACAGCCUAUCUAUAGGGCAAACCCGUCUCUGUGGCAAAAGAGUGGGAGGAGCUUCGAGUAGAGGUGACAGACCUACCGAGCUUAGUAAUAGCUGGUUGCCUAAGAAUUGAAUAGAAGUUCAGCCUUUAAAUAUCUUACACCCACACGGACCAUGUCGCACCCAGGCAAGAAGACUAUUUAAAGAGUUAUUUGAGAGAGGGACAGCUCUCUCAAAAAAAGAUACAACUUUAGUAGAUGGAUAAAGAUCAAAAGACCUAAGGACACCGCACCCAAGUGGGCCUAAAAGCAGCCACCCCUUAAGAAAGCGUUAAAGCUCAAGUACCCUUCCCACCCCCCAAUCCCGACAAAUUCAUCUUAUCCCACUUAACAUAUUAGGCCGCCCCAUGCCCCCAUGGGAACGACAAUGCUAAAAUGAGUAAUAAGAAGGCCUAGGCCUUCUCAAGUCCACCCGUGUAAAUCAGAACGAACCCCCACUGAAAAUUAACGCCCCCAAGAAUAGAGGGCACCGGAGUAAAAUUUAUUGCAACAAGAAAACCCCCCGACCUCACAGCGUUACCCCUACACAGGAGUGCUUAAUGAAAGACAUAAAGGAAGAGAAGGAACUCGGCAAACAUUGGCCUCGCCUGUUUACCAAAAACAUCGCCUCUUGCCCCCCCCCGUAUAAGAGGUCCCGCCUGCCCUGUGACUUUAAAGUUUAACGGCCGCGGUAUUUUGACCGUGCGAAGGUAGCGUAAUCACUUGUCUUUUAAAUAGAGACCUGUAUGAAUGGCAUAACGAGGGCCAAACUGUCUCCUCUCCCUAGUCAAUGAAAUUGAUCUGCCCGUGCAGAAGCGGGCAUAUCCACAUAAGACGAGAAGACCCUAUGGAGCUUUAGACACCAGGAGAGUUCACGUUAAAACCCCUGCCUCAACAGGAACAAACCAAAUGACCCCUCUCCCCCGUCUUUGGUUGGGGCGACCGCGGAGAAUCACAAAACCCCCGCAUGGAAUGGGCCAUGCCCUAAGUCCAGAGCCACAGCUCUAACAAACAGAACUUCUGACCCUAAGAUCCGGCAAAGCCGAUCAAUGGACCCAGUUACCCUAGGGAUAACAGCGCAAUCCCCUUCUAGAGCCCAUAUCGACAAGGGGGUUUACGACCUCGAUGUUGGAUCAGGACAUCCUAAUGGUGCAGCCGCUAUUAAGGGUUCGUUUGUUCAACGAUUAAAGCCCUACGUGAUCUGAGUUCAGACCGGAGAAAUCCAGGUCAGUUUCUAUCUAUGAAAAACACUCCCUCCUAGUACGAAAGGACCGGAGAGAGAGGGCCCAUACUGCAAGCAAGCCCUACCCUUACCUAGUGCCCCCCACUAAAAAAGGUAAGAGGGAAACCCACUGCCAGCCUAAGAGAACGGCAA